GUGAGGAAUAUUGGUCAAUGGAGGCAACUCUGAACCAGCCAUGCCGCGUGCAGGAAGACGGUCCUAUGGAUUGUAAACUGCUUUUAUUUAGGAAUAAACCCCCGGUCGUGCACCGGGGCUGAAUGUACUAAAAGAAUAAGCACCGGCUCACUCCGUGCCAGCAGCCGCGGUAAUACGGAGGGUGCAAGCGUUAUCCGGAAUCAUUGGGUUUAAAGGGUCCGCAGGCGGGUAAAUAAGUCAGAGGUGAAAUCCGGCAGCUCAACUGUCGCACUGCCUUUGAUACUUUUUAUCUUGAAUUUUAGUGGAGUGGGCGGGAUAUGUCAUGUAGCGGUGAAAUGCUUAGAUAUGACGUGGAACACCGAUAGCGAAGGCAGCUCACUAACUAUGAAUUGACGCUCAUGGACGAAAGCGUGGGUAGCAAACAGGAUUAGAUACCCGAGUAGUCC
Molecule: ribosomal RNA, 446 nt
Filed under: uncultured bacterium
Lineage: Bacteria
Description: partial 16S ribosomal RNA
Rfam family: Bacterial small subunit ribosomal RNA
Source: RNAcentral